RNAcentral lists this ribosomal RNA (333 nucleotides) under Triticum aestivum (bread wheat). RNAcentral describes it as "partial small subunit ribosomal RNA". Lineage: Eukaryota; Viridiplantae; Streptophyta; Magnoliopsida; Poales; Poaceae. The record is from RNAcentral.
AUGUUGGUACAACCCUUAUGCCAAGCUCCUUUGCAAGAGGCUACAAUUGACAAGACAAGCACCAAGAAGCUUACCAUGAUAUAUUCAAACAAAAUACAAGAUACACAUGAGAUAGCAAGAUGGUUCCAGUUUCUAACAUACCCUGUUGUCUUGAUUGCAAUCGAGCUUGAGGAAUACGACGUCGUGGUCCUUCUCAGACAUCUCCUGGAAUUUUGGUGCCAUAACUUUGCAAGGGCCGCACCUGCAGACAAGGAAAUUUCAUCACUGUGCUGCGGGAUGACAUCUGAUCUGGAUUAUAACAAUAUACAUGCAUCUCUAAAUAAUCUGGUCUAG